GGGAAGUUGGCUCAGUGGUAGAGUGCUUGCCUUGAAUGCAUGAGGCCCUGGGUUUGAUUCCUCAGCAUCACA
Molecule: transfer RNA, 72 nt
Filed under: Dipodomys ordii (Ord's kangaroo rat)
Lineage: Eukaryota; Metazoa; Chordata; Mammalia; Rodentia; Heteromyidae
Rfam family: tRNA
About the family: Transfer RNA (tRNA) molecules are approximately 80 nucleotides in length. Their secondary structure includes four short double-helical elements and three loops (D, anti-codon, and T loops).
Source: Rfam by way of RNAcentral